RNAcentral lists this ribosomal RNA (472 nucleotides) under uncultured bacterium. RNAcentral's name for it is "bacterial SSU rRNA". It matches the Rfam family "Bacterial small subunit ribosomal RNA", at positions 335 to 801 of the family's 1533-position model. The record is from RNAcentral.
ACUCCUACGGGAGGCAGCAGUGGGGAAUAUUGCACAAUGGGCGCAAGCCUGAUGCAGCCAUGCCGCGUGUAUGAAGAAGGCCUUCGGGUUGUAAAGUACUUUCAGCAGUGAGGAAGGCAGGUACGUUAAUAGCGUGCUUGUUUGACGUUAGCUGCAGAAGAAGCACCGGCUAACUCCGUGCCAGCAGCCGCGGUAAUACGGAGGGUGCGAGCGUUAAUCGGAAUUACUGGGCGUAAAGCGCAUGCAGGUGGUUUGUUAAGUCAGAUGUGAAAGCCCGGGGCUCAACCUCGGAAUUGCAUUUGAAACUGGCAGACUAGAGUACUGUAGAGGGGGGUAGAAUUUCAGGUGUAGCGGUGAAAUGCGUAGAGAUCUGAAGGAAUACCGGUGGCGAAGGCGGCCCCCUGGACAGAUACUGACACUCAGAUGCGAAAGCUGGGGAGCAAACAGGAUUAGAUACCCUGGUAGGAUAGCG